This 404-nucleotide ribosomal RNA is filed under the name Fusobacteriota bacterium. RNAcentral describes it as "Fusobacteria bacterium partial 16S ribosomal RNA". It matches the Rfam family "Bacterial small subunit ribosomal RNA", at positions 355 to 776 of the family's 1533-position model. The record is from RNAcentral. Lineage: Bacteria; Fusobacteriati; Fusobacteriota.
UGGGGAAUAUUGCACAAUGGAGGGAACUCUGAUGCAGCGACGCCGCGUGAGUGAUGAAGGAAUUCGUUUCGUAAAACUCUGUUCUAUGGGAAGAAAAGGACUGUACCAUAGGAGAAAGCUCCGGCUAAAUACGUGCCAGCAGCCGCGGUAAUACGUAUGGAGCGAGCGUUGUCCGGAAUUAUUGGGCGUAAAGGGUGCGCAGGCGGCUUUACAAGUUGGAUGUGAAAUAUUGUGGCUCAACCACAAACGUGCAUCCAAAACUGCAAAGCUUGAGUUAAGGAGAGGUAAGUGGAAUUCCUGGUGUAGCGGUGGAAUGCGUAGAUAUCAGGAGGAAUACCGGUGGCGAAGGCGACUUACUGGACUUAAACUGACGCUCAGGCACGAAAGCGUGGGGAGCAAAGAGG